RNAcentral lists this transfer RNA (85 nucleotides) under Escherichia coli. RNAcentral's name for it is "tRNA-Tyr". It matches the Rfam family "tRNA". Rfam says of the family: Transfer RNA (tRNA) molecules are approximately 80 nucleotides in length. Their secondary structure includes four short double-helical elements and three loops (D, anti-codon, and T loops). RNAcentral also lists the same sequence under 1 other name. Lineage: Bacteria; Pseudomonadati; Pseudomonadota; Gammaproteobacteria; Enterobacterales; Enterobacteriaceae. The record is from RNAcentral.
GGUGGCGUUCCCGAGCGGCCAAAGGGAGCAGACUGUAAAUCUGCCGUCAUCGACUUCGAAGGUUCGAAUCCUUCCCCCACCACCA